CGAGAUCCUUGGAUCUAGUGGCGCACGGGUGAGUAACAUGUGGGAAUCUACCUGAAGGUUCGGAAUAACUGCGGGAAACUGUAGCUAAUACCGGAUGUGUCUGUAAAGAGAAAGAUUUAUCGCCUUCAGAUGAGCCCGCACUAGAUUAGCUAGUUGGUGAGGUAACUGCUCCACCAAGGCUACGAUCUAUAGCUGAUUUGAGAGGAUGAUCAGCCACACUGGGACUGAGACACGGCCCAGACUCCUACGGGAGGCAGCAGUAGGGAAUAUUGGACGAUGGGGGAAACCCUGAUCCAGCAAUGCCGCGUGAGUGAAGAAGGCCUUCGGGUUGUAAAGCUCUUUCAUCAAUGAUGAUAAUGACAUUAGUUGAAGAAGAAGCCCCGGCUAACUUCGUGCCAGCAGCCGCGGUAAUACGAAGGGGGCUAGCGUUGUUCGGAAUCACUGGGCGUAAAGCGUAUGUAGGCGGAUCAAAAAGUUAGAUGUGAAAUCCCUGGGCUCAACCCAGGAACUGCAUUUAAAACUAGUGAUCUAGAAUUUGGUAGGGGCCAGUAGAAUUUCCAGUGUAGAGGUGAAAUUCGUAGAUAUUGGAAAGAAUACCAGUGGCGAAGGCGACUGGCUGGGCCAUUUUUGACGCUGAGAUACGAAAGCGUGGGUAGCAAACAGGAUUAGAUACCCUGGUAGUCCACGCAGUAAACGAUGAGUGCUAGUCGCUGGGACAAUAGUUUCAGUGUCGAAGCUAACGCAUUAAGCACUCCGCCUGGGAAGUACGGUCGCAAGAUUAAAACUCAAAUAAAUUGACGGGGGCCCGCACAAGCGGUGGAGCAUGUGGUUU
This 832-nucleotide ribosomal RNA is filed under the name uncultured Alphaproteobacteria bacterium. RNAcentral's name for it is "bacterial SSU rRNA". It matches the Rfam family "Bacterial small subunit ribosomal RNA", at positions 67 to 947 of the family's 1533-position model. The record is from RNAcentral. Lineage: Bacteria; Pseudomonadati; Pseudomonadota; Alphaproteobacteria.